CGAAGGAUGCAAGCGUUAUCCGGAUUCAUUGGGUUUAAAGGGAGCGUAGGUGGACUGAUAAGUCAGUGGUGAAAUCUUCGAGCUUAACUCGGAAAUUGCCAUUGAUACUGUUGGUCUUGAGUACAGUUGCUGUGGGCGGAAUAUGACAUGUAGUGGUGAAAUACAUAGAGAUGUCAUAGAACACCGAUUGCGAAGGCAGCUCACAAAGCUGUAACUGACACUGAGGCUCGAAAGUGCGGGGAUCAAACAGGAUUAGAUACCCUGGUAGUCCGCACUGUAAACGAUGAUUACUCGCUGCUGGAUGGCAACAUUUAGUGGCUUAGCGAAAGCGAUAAGUAAUCCACCUGGGGAGUACGCCGGCAACGGUG
RNAcentral lists this ribosomal RNA (368 nucleotides) under uncultured organism. RNAcentral's name for it is "bacterial SSU rRNA". It matches the Rfam family "Bacterial small subunit ribosomal RNA", at positions 526 to 896 of the family's 1533-position model. The record is from RNAcentral.